AUACGGAAGGUCCGGGCGUUAUCCGGAUUUAUUGGGUUUAAAGGGAGCGCAGGCGGAGAUGCAAGCGUGACGUCAAAUUUCGGGGCUCAACCCCGUCUCGCGUCGCGAACUGCGUCCCUUGGUUGCGGGAAGGGGAGGCGGAACUCGUGGGGUAGCGGCGAAAUGCAUAGAUAUCACGAAGAACUCCGAUCGCGAAGGCAGCCUUCCGGCCCGUCAACGACGCUCAUGCUCGAAGGUGCGGGUAUCAAACAGGAUUAGAUACCCUGGUAGUCCGCACAGUAAACGAUGGACACCCGCGGUUUGGCCUGUAUGGCUGAGCCGCCAAGCGAAAGCGUUAAGUGUCCCACCUGGGGAGUACGCCGGCAACGGUGAAACUUAAAGGAAUUGACGGGG
This 393-nucleotide ribosomal RNA is filed under the name uncultured bacterium. RNAcentral describes it as "partial 16S ribosomal RNA". It matches the Rfam family "Bacterial small subunit ribosomal RNA", at positions 523 to 918 of the family's 1533-position model. The record is from RNAcentral.